CACACAUUAAUUCACACACGCCACAAACUCGGCCUGCCCCUGCCCAGCAACCCCUCGGGGCGCACCACCGCUAUCUCUGACGCGUUUAUGCACAGUCCUACUCGCCCGCCGCAGACAGACCGGUCCCCAAGCAGCCGUCCAGCCCCUCCAGCCGCGUAGCUGCGAAAUCUGUCCUCUCCCUCUAACCCCAUUCCCCGCACACCGCCCCAGGCGCUGCGCCGCGCCCGUGCCGGGCCAGUCGGGGAAACUGCGCGCUCAGUCAUCUGGCAAUCACAGACGCUCCGAGGAGGGGCGGCGCGCGGGAAACGAAAGCGGCUGGAACACAAACUCAAGUCCCCUAAGGCCGCGGUCGAUCCGUGCAAGAAGUUGGAAAUCCUCGGGUAGGUCUCUAGCACCAGUGUCCAUAUGGUAGAAGGAGCAUCUCCAAAUGGCUGCUGCCAGUGUCUACAUUCCCAGGGUGAGCUGCAGUUGCUUCCUGCCUCUCCAGAAGACUCUUCAAGCUCCUGGUAACACGAACGAGUAGAACGGCAUGCUGCUUCCAGGACUGAAGUCAUAGGAUGAGACACAUGCAUGGAUUUUCUUCAGUAAACAUUCUCCUUAUGACAAAACUGCUUAGUCACGACCCUCUUUCUUGAGAUAUGGAUUGUCUUCUGACUUUAUGACCAUUGUUAAUUCCUUGUUCCCUUGAUAAUGGUUUCUGUACAUCUGGUUUUCUGAUCUUUAUCACUGUCGAAAGAAAUUCCUUGUACAACAGCCUGUAUAUACUCACAGAAAGAUCAUUAAAGCACCC
Cervus elaphus (red deer) is the source of this 790-nucleotide long non-coding RNA. RefSeq lists it as uncharacterized. The record is from RefSeq and is a predicted model, not a curated record. NCBI's taxonomy places the organism in Eukaryota, Metazoa, Chordata, Mammalia, Artiodactyla, Cervidae. The transcript has 3 exons.